Molecule: non-coding RNA, 135 nt
Filed under: Bacillus sp. (in: firmicutes)
Lineage: Bacteria; Bacillati; Bacillota; Bacilli; Caryophanales; Bacillaceae
Description: Bacillus sp. c-di-GMP sequence
Rfam family: c-di-GMP-I riboswitch aptamer (bases 1-84)
About the family: GEMM was predicted in a large-scale screen for bacterial structured RNA regulatory elements.
Source: RNAcentral
CGUACGAAACGGCAAAACCAUUGAAAAAUGGUGACGCAAAACUAAAGGGGCUACUAUUUUUAACAGGAGAAAAGCCAUACCGUAAGAAGGACACUACUUUUCUUUUACAAAGGAUAAUGCCAGCCAGUUACCGAA